Molecule: ribosomal RNA, 301 nt
Filed under: uncultured bacterium
Lineage: Bacteria
Description: partial 16S ribosomal RNA
Rfam family: Bacterial small subunit ribosomal RNA
Source: RNAcentral
CAGCAGCCGCGGUAAUACGAAGGGUGCAAGCGUUACUCGGAAUUACUGGGCGUAAAGCGUGCGUAGGUGGUGGUUUAAGUCCGUUGUGAAAGCCCUGGGCUCAACCUGGGAAUUGCAGUGGAUACUGGGUCACUAGAGUGUGGUAGAGGAUAGUGGAAUUUCCGGUGUAGCGGUGAAAUGCGUAGAGGUCGGAAGGAACAUCUGUGGCGAAGGCGACUAUCUGGGCCAACACUGACACUGAGGCACGAAAGCGUGAGGAGCAAACAGGAUUAGAUACCCGCGUAGUCCCUGUCUCUUAUAC